UCAUUGGUGGUUCAAUGGUAGAAUUCCUGCCUUCUAUGCAGGAGACCUGGGUUUGAUUUCCGGCCAGUGCA
RNAcentral lists this transfer RNA (71 nucleotides) under Trichechus manatus latirostris (Florida manatee). RNAcentral's name for it is "tRNA-Arg (TCT) (tRNA-Arg-TCT-12-1)". It matches the Rfam family "tRNA". From Rfam's summary of the family: Transfer RNA (tRNA) molecules are approximately 80 nucleotides in length. Their secondary structure includes four short double-helical elements and three loops (D, anti-codon, and T loops). Further hydrogen bonds mediate the characteristic L-shaped molecular structure. tRNAs have two regions of fundamental functional importance: the anti-codon, which is responsible for specific mRNA codon recognition, and the 3' end, to which the tRNAs corresponding amino acid is attached (by aminoacyl-tRNA synthetases). tRNAs cope with the degeneracy of the genetic code in two manners: having more than one tRNA (with a specific anti-codon) for a particular amino acid; and 'wobble' base-pairing, i.e. permitting non-standard base-pairing at the 3rd anti-codon position. The record is from Rfam by way of RNAcentral. Lineage: Eukaryota; Metazoa; Chordata; Mammalia; Sirenia; Trichechidae.